RNAcentral lists this ribosomal RNA (273 nucleotides) under uncultured bacterium. Its description in RNAcentral is "partial 16S ribosomal RNA". It matches the Rfam family "Bacterial small subunit ribosomal RNA", at positions 524 to 796 of the family's 1533-position model. The record is from RNAcentral.
UACGGAGGGUGCAAGCGUUACUCGGAAUCACUGGGCGUAAAGGGUGCGUAGGCGGGUUAUCAAGUCUCGAGUGAAAUCCAACGGCUUAACCGUUGAACUGCUUGGGAAACUGGUAGCCUAGAGUGAGGGAGAGGCAGAUGGAAUUGGUGGUGUAGGGGUAAAAUCCGUAGAGAUCACCAGGAAUACCCAUUGCGAAGGCGAUCUGCUGGAACUCAACUGACGCUGAGGCACGAAAGCGUGGGGAGCAAACAGGAUUAGAUACCCGUGUAGUCC